Molecule: ribosomal RNA, 253 nt
Filed under: uncultured bacterium
Lineage: Bacteria
Description: partial 16S ribosomal RNA
Rfam family: Bacterial small subunit ribosomal RNA
Source: RNAcentral
UACGUAGGGUGCGAGCGUUGCCCGGAUUUAUUGGGCGUAAAGCGCGCGUAGGCGGCUUUGCAAGUCGGGUGUGAAAUCCCCAGGCUUAACCUGGGAACUGCAUUCGAGACUGCAUUGCUAGAGUAUGGGAGAGGGAAGUGGAAUUUCCGGUGUAGCGGUGAAAUGCGUAGAUAUCAGGAGGAACACCAAUGGCGAAGGCAGCUCGCUAGGACGUGACUGACGCUGAGACGCGAAAGCGUGGGGAGCAAACAGG